This 1051-nucleotide long non-coding RNA is filed under the name Nicotiana tabacum (common tobacco). Its description in RNAcentral is "long non-coding RNA (NTAB_LNC002240)". Lineage: Eukaryota; Viridiplantae; Streptophyta; Magnoliopsida; Solanales; Solanaceae. The record is from RNAcentral.
GAUUCAUACGUUCCACUACUAAAAUUGUGUUCUUAUAACACCAAAAACUGCUAAAUCAAUUAAAACAACAUAGUUUCAAGUUUAGCAUCACAUAAUGAAUCAAUAACAAUUGAGCAGGAGGAGUCUAUCACUUUAAACCCAGACGAGUACAUUGGUGAAACUACAAAAUACAACACAAGAGGUACACAUUGUUCUUUUCCUAAUCGUGUGGCAGCAGAAUCACACAUCCACCUCAUUGAGCUGAUUUCUUCAUCAUACAUAUAUUUAGUCCACUGGUAUUCAAAUUCAUAGAUCCAAAUGGAUAUGAAGUCAUUAACUACUGCGCAAAGAUGGGCUAACACAAUAAUCAGUAAUUGAUGUUGCCUAACAGAAAUUAACUCAUAUGUUACCGAGUAUUUGACUCAUUUUAAACGAACAAAUAACAACACAUAUGGUCAAAUUAGAACCACUCAGUAAGCAAAUAAAUAGGCUGGAAUUAUGACACGGUAUCAAAACAGCUGAUCUUCAUUCAUCAAUUCAAUUAGAUGGCUUAAAAUGUGAAACAUACCUAGAGAUGAAUUCAGCAACAAGGAAUAACCAAAUAAAACUUAGAAGCAGAAGAUGAAGCUCAGUUAACAAUCCCCAGCAACAAUCGGCAGAGAAAAAAAAUACUUCCAACAGCCCAAAAGACCCUUUAACUUUCCAGAAAUACCAAAUGAAGGAGCAAGGCUUCGAAACAGCUUUCUUUUCCAGAUAACCUUGUUUUAAUGAAGGAGGUCUGUGAUGGAGCGGCUAGGGUGUGCUGUAUUUUUAUUUUGAGAAGGGGAGUCUGUUUGGAGAUGACGGAGGAAUAAGGGGCGGCUGCUUGGUUUUUUUUCCAGAAAAUGGGGGAUUUUUUAUUUAUUUUUUUAGGGCUAAGGGGGAAAAGGACUUUUAAUGAGGGGGAAAGAGAGAAUGGGCCAGGCGGGUCGGGGUGAAUUGGGCGGAUAUGGGAAUUCGUUUGGGCUCUUUGAGACUGGCCCAAUCCGAUUUAAACUAAAAACUUUCCCCCUUUUCUUUUGUUUGUUUUCUU